This 1045-nucleotide ribosomal RNA is filed under the name Vibrio harveyi. RNAcentral's name for it is "bacterial SSU rRNA". It matches the Rfam family "Bacterial small subunit ribosomal RNA", at positions 68 to 1123 of the family's 1533-position model. Lineage: Bacteria; Pseudomonadati; Pseudomonadota; Gammaproteobacteria; Vibrionales; Vibrionaceae. The record is from RNAcentral.
GGGGGACGAUAACGGCGUCGAGCGGCGGACGGGUGAGUAAUGCCUAGGAAAUUGCCCUGAUGUGGGGGAUAACCAUUGGAAACGAUGGCUAAUACCGCAUAAUACCUUCGGGUCAAAGAGGGGGACCUUCGGGCCUCUCGCGUCAGGAUAUGCCUAGGUGGGAUUAGCUAGUUGGUGAGGUAAUGGCUCACCAAGGCGACGAUCCCUAGCUGGUCUGAGAGGAUGAUCAGCCACACUGGAACUGAGACACGGUCCAGACUCCUACGGGAGGCAGCAGUGGGGAAUAUUGCACAAUGGGCGCAAGCCUGAUGCAGCCAUGCCGCGUGUGUGAAGAAGGCCUUCGGGUUGUAAAGCACUUUCAGUCGUGAGGAAGGUAGUGUAGUUAAUAGCUGCAUUAUUUGACGUUAGCGACAGAAGAAGCACCGGCUAACUCCGUGCCAGCAGCCGCGGUAAUACGGAGGGUGCGAGCGUUAAUCGGAAUUACUGGGCGUAAAGCGCAUGCAGGUGGUUUGUUAAGUCAGAUGUGAAAGCCCGGGGCUCAACCUCGGAAUAGCAUUUGAAACUGGCAGACUAGAGUACUGUAGAGGGGGGUAGAAUUUCAGGUGUAGCGGUGAAAUGCGUAGAGAUCUGAAGGAAUACCGGUGGCGAAGGCGGCCCCCUGGACAGAUACUGACACUCAGAUGCGAAAGCGUGGGGAGCAAACAGGAUUAGAUACCCUGGUAGUCCACGCCGUAAACGAUGUCUACUUGGAGGUUGUGGCCUUGAGCCGUGGCUUUCGGAGCUAACGCGUUAAGUAGACCGCCUGGGGAGUACGGUCGCAAGAUUAAAACUCAAAUGAAUUGACGGGGGCCCGCACAAGCGGUGGAGCAUGUGGUUUAAUUUCGAUGCAACGCGAAGAACCUUACCUACUCUUGACAUCCAGAGACUUUCCAGAGAUGGAAUUGGUGCCUUCGGAACUCUGAGACAGUGCUGCAUGCUGUCGUCAGCUCGUGUGUGAAUGUUGGAUAAGUCCGCACGAGCGCAACCUUAUCUGUUGCAGCAGUCG